CUGGUUUAGGUGGACUUUUCAAGAUUUUUUUCUGAUUUACUGUGGACAUUCUGUUUUGGUGGACCCAAAAAGUCCACGUAAAAAUAAACGCACAGAACACCUUUUAGCUGGACGUAAACGUAUCCGAAAGAACAAGUCUGUUUCGGUGGACUCAAAAAUUGUCCACCUUAGGCGCCAUCUAUCUCUAAACUAAAAAAUUUGAUGGUUCGUAGUUCCAAUAUCUGCCACAGACGGCGCCACCAUCGGCUGGCUCUGUGUUGAAGCUCGGAAACGCACGCCUUGAUCAGCGCGGGCUAGCGCGGGCAUGCAGCAAAAACGUAACAUGAUAUGAUUUAUAGUGUGGUCUGUGGAAUGUGAAGCGAUCAAAAUAGACGUUUGUUUUAUUUUUAAAAAAGUGUAAAAAUAAAUUAAUUAUAUUAUGUAUCUUAGAAACCCGUGAAUUAGAGUAUGAUGAAGUUUUGUGUAGUUGCAACAACACUGUUUUUUGUUGCGGUGUUAUCGGCGCGGCACGGCUCACCACGUGGCGGUGUCAGUGUUGGGAUUUGGAAGAGAUAAAGCUUUGGGUGGUACUAAUUUGUGUUUUUUUUUGUGCUGGGAGCUUUUUGAAGUCUGUGAGGUAGCUUGGAUGUUCAGGCCACUUUGAUAGUCCAAGAUGCUGUCUGGUACUAAUGUACGCAAGAAGCGACCAGCAGCUGUUACUUCUGGACGAAGG
Molecule: long non-coding RNA, 712 nt
Organism: Amphibalanus amphitrite
Lineage: Eukaryota; Metazoa; Arthropoda; Thecostraca; Balanomorpha; Balanidae
Exons: 3
Source: RefSeq, a predicted model, not a curated record